GAUAGACAUCCACUAGGUACACUGGGGAAGAUAGACAUCCACUAGGUACACUGGGGAAGAUAGACAUCCACUAGGUACAUAUCACAGCACUGGGGAAGAUAGACAUCCACUAGGUACACUGGGGAAGAUAGACAUCCACUAGGUACACUGGGGAAGAUAGACAUCCACUAGGUACACUGGGGAAGAUAGACAUCCACUAGGUACACUGGGGAAGAUAGAC
This is a long non-coding RNA of Oncorhynchus tshawytscha (Chinook salmon), 220 nucleotides long. RefSeq lists it as uncharacterized. The record is from RefSeq and is a predicted model, not a curated record. NCBI's taxonomy places the organism in Eukaryota, Metazoa, Chordata, Actinopteri, Salmoniformes, Salmonidae. The transcript is spliced from 3 exons.